UCCUACGGGAGGCAGCAGUAGGGAAUCUUCCGCAAUGGGCGAAAGCCUGACGGAGCGACGCCACGUGGAUGAUGAAGGCCUUCGGGUCGUAAAAUCCUGUCAGGGGGGACGAUGGUCGAUCUUCGGAUUGAUUGACGGUACCCUCAGAGGAAGCUCCGGCCAACUACGUGCCAGCAGCCGCGGUAAUACGUAGGGAGCAAGCGUUGUUCGGAUUUACUGGGCGUAAAGAGUGCGUAGGCGGUUAUAUAAGUCAAAGGUGAAAUCUUCACUUUCAAGGUGGAAACUGCCUCUGAUACUGUAUAACUAGAGGGCAAGAGGGGGAAAUGGAACUCUGGGAGUAGCGGUGAAAUGCGUAGAUAUCCAGAGGAACGCCGGUAGCGAAGGCGAUUUCCUGGCUUGCAUCUGACGCUGAGGCACUAAAGCUAGGGUAGCGAUCGGGAUUAGAUACCCCAGUAGUCCAAGCCGAAUUCCAGCA
Molecule: ribosomal RNA, 475 nt
Filed under: uncultured bacterium
Lineage: Bacteria
Description: bacterial SSU rRNA
Rfam family: Bacterial small subunit ribosomal RNA
Source: RNAcentral